GCUAGGUGUGGUGGCGCACACCUGUAAUCUCAGCAUCUCGUGAGGCUGAGGCAGGAGGAUCACGAGUUCAAAGCCAAUCUCAGCAAGAGUUAGGUUCAAAGUAAAUUAUUGAGACCCUGUCUCUA
RNAcentral lists this small RNA (125 nucleotides) under Marmota monax (woodchuck). Lineage: Eukaryota; Metazoa; Chordata; Mammalia; Rodentia; Sciuridae. The record is from RNAcentral.